RNAcentral lists this ribosomal RNA (244 nucleotides) under uncultured bacterium. RNAcentral's name for it is "partial 16S ribosomal RNA". It matches the Rfam family "Bacterial small subunit ribosomal RNA", at positions 89 to 334 of the family's 1533-position model. The record is from RNAcentral.
CGUCGAGUGGCGGACGGGUGAGUAAUACUUAGGAAUCUGCCCAUUAGUGGGGGACAACUCGAGGAAACUCGAGCUAAUACCGCAUACGCCCUACGGGGGAAAGCGGAGGACCUUUCGGGGCUUCGCGCUAAUGGAUGAGCCUAAGUCGGAUUAGCUUGUUGGUGAGGUAAAGGCUCACCAAGGCGACGAUCCGUAGUUGGUCUGAGAGGACGAUCAGCCACACUGGGACUGAGACACGGCCCAG